This 1813-nucleotide ribosomal RNA is filed under the name Dermacentor silvarum. Its description in RNAcentral is "small subunit ribosomal RNA". It matches the Rfam family "Eukaryotic small subunit ribosomal RNA". Lineage: Eukaryota; Metazoa; Arthropoda; Arachnida; Ixodida; Ixodidae. The record is from RNAcentral.
UACCUGGUUGAUCCUGCCAGUAAUCAUAUGCUUGUCUCAAAGAUUAAGCCAUGCAUGUCUAAGUACAUGCCGAAAUAAGGCGAAACCGCGAAUGGCUCAUUAAAUCAGUUAUGGUUCCUUAGAUCGUUUCUUCCUACUUGGAUAACUGUGGCAAUUCUAGAGCUAAUACAUGCAGUGAGCCUGAAGCCCUUUGGGCGACGGGUGCUUUUAUUAGACCAAGAUCGAUCGGGUUUCGGCCCGUAUUGUGUGGUGACUCUGGAUAACUUUGUGCUGAUCGCAUGGCCACGAGCCGGCGACGUUUCUUUCAAGUGUCUGCCUUAUCAACUUUCGAUGUAGGUUACUUGCUUACCAUGGUUGUUACGGGUAACGGAGAAUCAGGGUUCGAUUCCGGAGAGGGAGCCUGAGAAACGGCUACCACAUCCAAGGAAGGCAGCAGGCGCGCAAAUUACCCACUCCCGGCACGGGGAGGUAGUGACGAAAAAUAACAAUACGGGACUCUUUUGAGGCCCCGUAAUUGAAAUGAGUACACUCUAAAUCCUUUAACGAGGAUCAAUUGGAGGGCAAGUCUGGUGCCAGCAGCCGCGGUAAUUCCAGCUCCAAUAGCGUAUACUAAAGCUGCUGCGGUUAAAAAGCUCGUAGUUGGAUCUCAGUUCCAGACGAGUAGUGCAUCUACCCGAUGCGACGGCUCGGACUGAACAUCAUGCCGGUCCUUUCUUGGUGCACUUCAUUGUGUGCUCGAGAAGGCCGGUGCUUUUACUUUGAAAAAAUUAGAGUGCUCAACGCAGGCGAGUCGCCUGAAUAAACUUGCAUGGAAUAAUAGAACAAGACCUCGUUUCUGUUCUGUUGGUUUUUGGAAUACGAGGUAAUGAUUAAGAGGGACAGACGGGGGCAUUCGUAUUGCGGCGCUAGAGGUGAAAUUCUUGGACCGUCGCAAGACGAACUACUGCGAAAGCAUUUGCCAAGAAUGUUUUCUUUGAUCAAGAACGAAAGUCAGAGGUUCGAAGGCGAUCAGAUACCGCCCUAGUUCUGACCAUAAACGAUGCCAACCAGCGAUCCGCCUGAGUUACUCAAAUGACUCGGCGGGCAGCUUCCGGGAAACCAAAGUAUUUGGGUUCCGGGGGAAGUAUGGUUGCAAAGCUGAAACUUAAAGGAAUUGACGGAAGGGCACCACCAGGAGUGGAGCCUGCGGCUUAAUUUGACUCAACACGGGAAAACUUACCCGGCCCGGACACUGGGAGGAUUGACAGAUUGAGAGCUCUUUCUUGAUUCGGUGGAUGGUGGUGCAUGGCCGUUCUUAGUUGGUGGAGCGAUUUGUCUGGUUAAUUCCGAUAACGAACGAGACUCUAGCCUAUUAAAUAGGUGCGGGGUUCCCAGCACCUUACAACCUUCUUAGAGGGACAAGCGGCUCCUAGCCGCACGAAACAGAGCAAUAACAGGUCUGUGAUGCCCUUAGAUGUCCGGGGCCGCACGCGCGCUACACUGAAGGAAGCAGCGUGUCUUUAUCCCUGUCUGAAAAGACUGGGUAACCCGUGGAACUUCUUUCGUGAUUGGGAUAGGGGCUUGCAAUUGUUCCCCUUGAACGAGGAAUUCCCAGUAAGCGCGAGUCAUAAGCUCGCGUUGAUUACGUCCCUGCCCUUUGUACACACCGCCCGUCGCUACUACCGAUUGAAUGAUUUAGUGAGGUCUUCGGACCGAUGUCCGGCGCGGCCUUUCGGUUGCGCCGGUCUGUUGGAAAGAUGACCAAACUUGAUCAUUUAGAGGAAGUAAAAGUCGUAACAAGGUUUCCGUAGGUGAACCUGCGGAAGGAUCAUUA